AAGGGCUGCCGGGCAGUCGCGCGCCGCUCGGCGGCGUGAGGAAAGUCCGGGCUUCACAGGACGGCGUGCGGGACAACGUCCCGUCGGGGAAACUCGAAGGAAAGUGCCACAGAAACAAACCGCCCGCGCGAUGCGGGCAAGGGUGAAAUCGUGAGGUAAGAGCUCACGGAGCGUCGCGGUAACGCGCGCUCGGGUAAACCCCACGCGAAGCAAGAUCGCUCGACACGCUCCGCGCGGCGGAGACGGAUCGUCCGUCCGAACGAGCUACAUCGCACCGAGGCGCGCGGUGACGCGCGUCCCAGAUAGAUGGCUGCCGCCGCGCAAGCGGUACAGAAUCCGGCUUACAAGCAGCCUUUGCCC
Molecule: RNase P RNA, 360 nt
Filed under: Vulcanimicrobiota bacterium
Lineage: Bacteria; Bacillati; Vulcanimicrobiota
Description: RNase P RNA component class A
Rfam family: Bacterial RNase P class A
About the family: Ribonuclease P (RNase P) is a ubiquitous endoribonuclease, found in archaea, bacteria and eukarya as well as chloroplasts and mitochondria.
Source: RNAcentral